GUGCUCGCUUUGGCAGCAUAUAUACUAAAACUGGAGUGAUACAGAGAAGAUUAGCAUGACCCCUGCGCAACGAUGACACGCAAAUUCAUGAAGCAUUCCAUAUAUUU
RNAcentral lists this small nuclear RNA (107 nucleotides) under Cervus elaphus hippelaphus. The record is from RNAcentral. Lineage: Eukaryota; Metazoa; Chordata; Mammalia; Artiodactyla; Cervidae.